GAGAGGGACGAGCUAGCACCGGUUGGCCUCCCCGUCGCCGCCGAGUUGCUCGCCGCCCGUCGCCGUCGCUAUGCCGUCGGGAGGGAGAUUCAAGAGAGCGAGCACGGAGUUGAGGGAGCAGAAGGGACCGCGCCACCAUCGCGGAGAGUGAGAGAGGCGUCGCUGAGCCUGAGUCGCUGCUGGAAGAUCUUCGUGCUUCAUCAUCACCGUUUGCCUUCCAUCUAGCCCGAACCACCGUGCAAGGGGGAAAUCACCGCCACUGCGCCACGCGUCGCCGCCGACCUGCCUCGAAGCUGCCGUCGCGGAUCAGAUCUGAGGCGAGAGAGAGAGAGACACGAAGGAGGGAACCGUGCGCUGCCAUCGCGCCUAGUCACGCCCUCACCGCGAAGCCAUCACCGCCGAACUGUCUUUGAUGAUGGAGGUUCCGUUGCCGAGCUGUUGAGUCGCCGCUGCCGCCGUUGGGUUCGCCGGGAGUGUGAGCCCGAACGGGAAUGAGAAAGAACAGGAAGGUGGCCACCGUGGGUGUCACUGUCGGAGGAGGAAAAGGACGUUCCGCUGUGUACCGUCGUUCCGGGAACCACCGCUGCCUCUACCGCCGAAUAACGCACUGUCAUUGCUAUCAUCGGAGCCUGGGGCUGUUGUCGUCACUUGAGGUAGCUGCCGGAGCAUCUGCCCCUCCAUUGCGGCAUUUUUCUUUAACUGUGAAACUGUAUGAUUAAAAUAGAGGCUGUUGCGGUGUCGACCUUCUUCGUUUCUCGUGGUUGCUGCCGCGAGUUAAGACUAAAAAGGGACCCUUGACGCGUUAACUCUUAAAGGUUUCGACUUUUGAGUUUUACCCUUUUCAGGUACCGGAUGAAGAAGCAUUAAGAAGAGAUAUACUACGUUUGUUUUUAUAAGAUGU
This is a non-coding RNA of Arachis ipaensis, 901 nucleotides long. Lineage: Eukaryota; Viridiplantae; Streptophyta; Magnoliopsida; Fabales; Fabaceae. The record is from RefSeq and is a predicted model, not a curated record.